CCCAGCGUGGCGUAGUGGUUUGAGUGUUGGACUGUGACUCUGGGGACCAGGGUUUGAUUCCCGGCUCAGCCA
RNAcentral lists this transfer RNA (72 nucleotides) under Phrynosoma platyrhinos (Desert horned lizard). RNAcentral's name for it is "tRNA-OTHER". Lineage: Eukaryota; Metazoa; Chordata; Lepidosauria; Squamata; Phrynosomatidae. The record is from RNAcentral.